RNAcentral lists this ribosomal RNA (253 nucleotides) under uncultured bacterium. Its description in RNAcentral is "partial 16S ribosomal RNA". It matches the Rfam family "Bacterial small subunit ribosomal RNA", at positions 524 to 776 of the family's 1533-position model. The record is from RNAcentral.
GACGAACCGUCCAAACGUUAUUCGGAAUUACUGGGCUUAAAGGGUUCGUAGGCGGCCUUGUAAGUGAGCUGUGAAAUCCCACGGCUCAACCGUGGAAGUGCAUUUCAUACUGCAAGGCUUGAGGGAGACAGAGGUAAGCGGAACUGAUGGUGGAGCGGUGAAAUGCGUUGAUAUCAUCAGGAACACCGGUGGCGAAAGCGGCUUACUGGGUCUCUUCUGACGCUGAGGAACGAAAGCCAGGGGAGCGAACGGG